This 266-nucleotide ribosomal RNA is filed under the name uncultured prokaryote. RNAcentral describes it as "partial 16S ribosomal RNA". It matches the Rfam family "Bacterial small subunit ribosomal RNA", at positions 524 to 788 of the family's 1533-position model. The record is from RNAcentral.
UACGUAGGUGGCAAGCGUUGUCCGGAUUUACUGGGCGUAAAGGGAGCGUAGGCGGAUUUUUAAGUGAGAUGUGAAAUACCCGGGCUCAACUUGGGUGCUGCAUUUCAAACUGGAAGUCUAGAGUGCAGGAGAGGAGAAUGGAAUUCCUAGUGUAGCGGUGAAAUGCGUAGAGAUUAGGAAGAACACCAGUGGCGAAGGCGAUUCUCUGGACUGUAACUGACGCUGAGGCUCGAAAGCGUGGGGAGCAAACAGGAUUAGAUACCCCU